AUGAACGCUGGCGGCGUGCCUAAUACAUGCAAGUCGAGCGAACGGACGAGAAGCUUGCUUCUCUGAUGUUAGCGGCGGACGGGUGAGUAACACGUGGAUAACCUACCUAUAAGACUGGGAUAACUUCGGGAAACCGGAGCUAAUACCGGAUAAUAUUUUGAACCGCAUGGUUCAAAAGUGAAAGACGGUCUUGCUGUCACUUAUAGAUGGAUCCGCGCUGCAUUAGCUAGUUGGUAAGGUAACGGCUUACCAAGGCAACGAUGCAUAGCCGACCUGAGAGGGUGAUCGGCCACACUGGAACUGAGACACGGCCCAGACUCCUACGGGAGGCAGCAGUAGGGAAUCUUCCGCAAUGGGCGAAAGCCUGACGGAGCAACGCCGCGUGAGUGAUGAAGGUCUUCGGAUCGUAAAGCUCUGUUAUUAGGGAAGAACAUAUGUGUAAGUAACUGUGCUCAUCUUGACGGUACCUAAUCAGAAAGCCACGGCUAACUACGUG
RNAcentral lists this ribosomal RNA (496 nucleotides) under uncultured bacterium. RNAcentral describes it as "partial 16S ribosomal RNA". It matches the Rfam family "Bacterial small subunit ribosomal RNA", at positions 29 to 507 of the family's 1533-position model. The record is from RNAcentral.